RNAcentral lists this ribosomal RNA (476 nucleotides) under Pirateolea sp. PITAG4860. Its description in RNAcentral is "partial 16S large subunit ribosomal RNA". Lineage: Eukaryota; Metazoa; Arthropoda; Insecta; Lepidoptera; Noctuidae. The record is from RNAcentral.
UGUCUUUUUGAAAUUAAUAUAAAGUUUAAUCUGCCCACUGAUUUUAUAAUUGAAGGGCUGCAGUAUAUUGACUGUACAAAGGUAGCAUAAUCAUUAGUCAUUUAAUUGAUGACUUGUAUGAAGGAUUGGAUGAAAUAUAAUCUGUCUCUUAAUUAUUUAUAAAAAUUAAUUUUUUAAUUAAAAAGUUAAAAUGAUUUAAAAAGACGAGAAGACCCUAUAGAGUUUUAUAGAUAAAUUAAUUAAAAAUAUUUAGUAAUAUAAAAUUAAAAUUAAAUUAUUUAUUUUAUUGGGGUGAUAGAAAAAUAAAUAAAACUUUUUUUAUAUAUUAACAUUUAUAAGUGAUUAAAUGAUCCAAUAUUAUUGAUUAUAAGAAAAAAUUACCUUAGGGAUAACAGCGUAAUUUUUUUUUUUAGUUCAUAUAAGAAAAAGAGUUUGCGACCUCGAUGUUGGAUUAAGAUAAAAUUUAAAUGCAGAAG